CAGUCGCCGCGGGAAUACGUAGGUGGCAAGCGUUGUCCGGAACUAUUGGGCGUAAAGGGCUCGCAGGCGGUUUCUUAAGUCUGAUGUGAAAGCCCCCGGCUCAACCGGGGAGGGUCAUUGGAAACUGGGAAACUUGAGUGCAGAAGAGGAGAGUGGAAUUCCACGUGUAGCGGUGAAAUGCGUAGAGAUGUGGAGGAACACCAGUGGCGAAGGCGACUCUCUGGUCUGUAGCUGACGCUGAGGAGCGAAAGCGUGGGGAGCGAACAGGAUUAGAUACCCCCGUAGUCCCUGUCUCUUAUAC
This 301-nucleotide ribosomal RNA is filed under the name uncultured bacterium. RNAcentral describes it as "partial 16S ribosomal RNA". It matches the Rfam family "Bacterial small subunit ribosomal RNA", at positions 509 to 807 of the family's 1533-position model. The record is from RNAcentral.